UAGGGAAUUUUCGUCAAUGGGGGGAACCCUGAACGAGCAAUGCCGCGUGUGUGAAGAAGGUCUUCGGAUCGUAAAGCACUGUUGUAAGUGAAGAAUGCCAUAUAGAGGAAAUGCUAUGUGGGUGACGGUAGCUUACCAGAAAGCCACGGCUAACUACGUGCCAGCAGCCGCGGUAAUACGUAGGUGGCAAGUGUUAUCCGGAAUCAUUGGGCGUAAAGGGUGCGUAGGUGGCACGAUAAGUCUGAAGUAAAAGGCAACAGCUCAACUGUUGUAUGCUUUGGAAACUGUCGAGCUAGAGUGCAGAAGAGGGCGAUGGAAUUCCAUGUGUAGCGGUAAAAUGCGUAGAUAUAUGGAGGAACACCAGUGGCGAAGGCGGUCGCCUGGUCUGUAACUGACGCUGAGGCACGAAAGCAUGGGUAGCAAACAGGAUUAGAUACC
RNAcentral lists this ribosomal RNA (438 nucleotides) under uncultured bacterium. RNAcentral describes it as "bacterial SSU rRNA". It matches the Rfam family "Bacterial small subunit ribosomal RNA", at positions 355 to 786 of the family's 1533-position model. The record is from RNAcentral.